GAUGAACGCUGGCGGCGUGCCUAAUACAUGCAAGUCGAACGCUUCACUUCGGUGAAGAGUGGCGAACGGGUGAGUAAUACAUAAGUAACCUGGCAUCUACAGGGGGAUAACUGAUGGAAACGUCAGCUAAGACCGCAUAGGUGUAGAGAUCGCAUGAACUCUAUAUGAAAAGUGCUACGUGACUGGUAGAUGAUGUACUUAUGGCGCAUUAGCUUGUUGGUAGGGUAACGGCCUACCAAGGCGACGAUGCGUAGCCGACCUGAGAGGGUGACCGGCCACACUGGGACUGAGACACGGCCCAGACUCCUACGGGAGGCAGCAGUAGGGAAUUUUCGGCAAUGGGGGAAAGCCUGACCGAGCAACGCCGCGUGAAGGAAGAAGUAAUUCGUUAUGUAAACUUCUGUCAUAGAGGAAGAACGGUGGAUAUAGGGAAUGAUAUCCAAGUGACGGUACUCUAUAAGAAAGCCACGGCUAACUACGUG
Molecule: ribosomal RNA, 482 nt
Filed under: uncultured bacterium
Lineage: Bacteria
Description: partial 16S ribosomal RNA
Rfam family: Bacterial small subunit ribosomal RNA
Source: RNAcentral